GGCCAGGUAUUGUUCCGGCUCACGUUUGACGACUGGUCGCUUGGUUUUUGGGAGCGAAAGGUUGUCCGCAUUGUGUAUAUUGGCCCGGGACUUCUGUCCGGUUUGUCUUGCUAGGACCCGUCUUCCUUCGAGGAUGUCGCGCAUAAUUUGUACUAGGAUGUCCUAUGCCAUCGCCCUCGCGAGUUGUUCUCUGACGUCCUCGGCUCGUAGUGGGGGGCUGUGGGGCGACUGGGCCAUUGGCUGUUUUGCGCCUCGCUGAGCAUGGCUUGGGCUUUAUUGAGGGUGGCCCAAGCUUCUAAGUCUAUCCAGACUCCUUGGAAGCAAUUCUCCACUUCUUGAAUUGUGAGGAAUUAGCUUGCAUAUAAGGUCUGGCCUUGUCUCUUCCUUUCUUUUUUCAGCGUGAUGUUUAUCCAUCGUAUCUGUUCCAGUGCCGUGGCUACUUUUUUCCCUAUGGUUUUGAAGUUGGUGUUGUUUAUUGCAUCUUUCCAUACAUUCGUGAAUUUUUCUUUCACUUUCGCAUCAUGUACGUGUCUUCAAUUGAAGUGAGUCUGUUUGGGCUUCUUCUUCCUCACAAAAUGGAUUAAGAGGAAUGCGGCCAAGUGGCUUGAUAUGUAUGUAAUUUGUAGCCAGAUGGCAUGUGUUUCCCUUUGUUCAUGUAAUUCAUAGCUUGUAUAGAAUUUGUCAAUUCUAUACCAAUUGGGUGUAGGAUUUUUUUUUCUAUAUAAAACCUUUGGUCUCGAUUUGACAAUAUGUAUCCAUGUGGAAAGUGUCAAGGAUGUCGAGGUGUAUCGUGGAACUGAUCCAUGUCGCUUGUUCUCUUCAAUCCAUGCCAAGUAUAUUGGGUCCUUGAGGUGUUGAGGUCAAUGAAGACCUUGUUGAAACUUCUCCCACUAUUGGGAACAGUAUGGAGAAUAUCCCAUACCAUGUGAUCUGAGUGUUGGAGUGUGGGAUGAAUAGCACCGAUCAAAGAAAUUCCUUUGAGAGUGCUGUGGUUUGAUGUCCCCUUUUUUGUGCCUCUUUCAAGUCUCUGCUUAUUGGUUCUAAUUGGAAGUGGAUUUUUCCCUGUUGUUUCUUCCUCCACACAAAUUGGAACCCCUCUAUGUAGUGUAUGAUGUGGGGUUGAUGGCUAGUAUUUUUGUUUGUGGAUAUUCUGCUUAUUAAGUGAAUUUGGCGAUUGGUUGAUGUCCCUCUUCUUUCUUGUGGUGGCUUCAUGGUGGUAAAGUUCAGGUAUGUGGGUUGGGCGGAUUCAGGGUCUGAGUUUCUUUCUUGUGUAAUCACUGAUUUUAGCUUAUAUAGUGUUGGUGAGAUUGAGUUAGUGUGUUAUUCUUACGUGUUGGUGUGAGGAAGGUCCUUUCUCGAUGUUGAUGUUACCUUUUGUAUAGGUGGUUUCUUCCCUCCAUUCUAGGUGUUCCAUGGCAUCUAACGGGGUUGGCAAUUUUCUUGUUCUCUAUGGAGGACUUGUCUCUCUUUUUUUCCAUUGGAUGGUCUCGAUUUACAACCUAUGGCCUGGUGUCCAAAUAUUCGAUACUUGGUACACUAGAGAAGGUGUCCUGAUAUAAUAUGACUUUUUGUAUAAGUUGAGCCUCUGGAAAUGGUCAUAGUAAUCUGAUUUUGGUCAAGAGCUUGUCUGUGUCCCAGACUUGGAUUUUGAUUCUUAGUCUGGCUGUUUUGUGUAUGUCGGAAGAGGCUUCUUCUAUGAAAAGUAUCUCUUCCAAUGGAGAGGCUAUGAUUCAGAGACAGGGCUCUUGCCAUACAUAAUAAUUCAGACUUAAAAACUAAAUCCAGACUAGGAAUGCAAGGAACUUGUAUGUUUCCCUAUUAUUUGCUAAAAAUAAUAGAAUAUUUGAGAUGGCUGGAUUGUACAGGCGUCUAGUCGAUGUUGCUUUUUGCAAGGCUGUACCUAUUUGAAAAUAGGGCUCUAAUGUUAUCGGGGCUACUACUAGAGUGUGGCCUUGGCUGGUUUUUUGAGCACUAGUUCCUCAGAGAGGGGAUGGUGCCCUAGGUUGUUGUCAUUAGGUUUUCUAUAUUAAUGCCCUAAUUUUUUACUAACCAUGUUUUAGUGGGAUUUGAAGGAUUUUGGUAGCAAAAAAAGAUAGCCAAAGUAUUCAUAUAAAUGAAUAAAUAUGGAUAAUAUAAAUCUCUAUUCUUAUUGGUCAAAAAUUAUGACCAAUGGGCUUCAAAGAGGUUACCAGAGGCUAUAUUAAAAAUUAGGGUUAGUCUUUUGAAGGCAUUUAAAUAUUAGAGGUUAGAAUUGGCAAAUUCGAGUUUUUGGCUAUGGUUUUUGGUAUAAAAUUUGAAUCAUUUGGAGUUUUUACGAAGGAGAUAUAGACACUCAAAGUCAAGGUGUCAGUUUUAUAUCUACUUUCAUUCUUUUAGAUAUAACAAAUAUGUACAAAAAGCAAUUAAAGAUCAGC
This is a non-coding RNA of Physcomitrium patens, 2414 nucleotides long. The record is from RefSeq and is a predicted model, not a curated record. Lineage: Eukaryota; Viridiplantae; Streptophyta; Bryopsida; Funariales; Funariaceae.